GGCGGCGUGCCUAACACAUGCAAGUCGAGCGAGAAGCUUAUGAAGAAACCUUCGGGUGACUGAAUAAGUGGAAAGCGGCGGACGGGUGAGUAACGCGUGGGUAACCUGCCCCAUACAAAGGGAUAGCCACUGGAAACGGUGAUUAAUACCAUAUGAGAUCGUAGAGUCGCAUGACUUAGCGGUUAAAGAUUUAUCGGUAUGGGAUGGACCCGCGUCUGAUUAGCUAGUUGGUAAGGUAACGGCUUACCAAGGCGACGAUCAGUAGCCGACCUGAGAGGGUGAUCGGCCACACUGGAACUGAGACACGGUCCAGACUCCUACGGGAGGCAGCAGUGGGGAAUAUUGCACAAUGGGCGCAAGCCUGAUGCAGCAACGCCGCGUGAGCGAUGAAGGCCUUCGGGUCGUAAAGCUCUGUCCUCAAGGAAGAAUAAAUGACGGUACUUGAGGAGGAAGCCCCGGCUAACUACGUGCCAGCAGCCGCGGUAAUACGUAGGGGGCAAGCGUUAUCCGGAAUCACUGGGCGUAAAGGGUGCGUANGCGGUUUUUCAAGUCAGAAGUGAAAGGCUAUGGCU
This 572-nucleotide ribosomal RNA is filed under the name uncultured bacterium. RNAcentral's name for it is "bacterial SSU rRNA". It matches the Rfam family "Bacterial small subunit ribosomal RNA", at positions 38 to 609 of the family's 1533-position model. The record is from RNAcentral.